RNAcentral lists this ribosomal RNA (423 nucleotides) under uncultured bacterium. RNAcentral's name for it is "bacterial SSU rRNA". It matches the Rfam family "Bacterial small subunit ribosomal RNA", at positions 207 to 622 of the family's 1533-position model. The record is from RNAcentral.
AAGACCUUGCGCUUUUGGAGCGGCCGAUGCCUGAUUAGCUAGUUGGUGGGAUAAUGGCCUACCAAAGCUUCGAUCAGUAGCUGGUCUGAGAGGACGGCCAGCCACACUGGGACUGAGACACGGCCCAGACUCCUACGGGAGGCAGCAGUGGGGAAUUUUGGACAAUGGGCGCAAGCCUGAUCCAGCCAUGCCGCGUGAGUGAAGAAGGCCUUCGGGUUGUAAAGCUCUUUCAGCCGGGAAGAAAAGGUUGCGAUUAAUAAUCGCAAUUUAUGACGGUACCGGAAGAAGAAGCACCGGCUAACUACGUGCCAGCAGCCGCGGUAAUACGUAGGGUGCGAGCGUUAAUCGGAAUUACUGGGCGUAAAGGGUGCGCAGGCGGUUUUGUAAGUCAGAUGUGAAAUCCCCGGGCUUAACCUGGGAACU